This 227-nucleotide ribosomal RNA is filed under the name uncultured bacterium. Its description in RNAcentral is "partial 16S ribosomal RNA". It matches the Rfam family "Bacterial small subunit ribosomal RNA", at positions 15 to 224 of the family's 1533-position model. The record is from RNAcentral.
GAUCCUGGCUCAGGACGAACGCUGGCGGCGUGCUUAACACAUGCAAGUCGAACGAUGAAAGAGAAUCCGAUCUCUUCGGAGAGAAGAAUCUCUGGAUUAGUGGCGGACGGGUGAGUAACGCGUGAGCAAUCUGCCUUACACAAAGGGAUAGCCUCGGGAAACCGGGAUUAAUACCAUAUGAUAUCUAUUCACCGCAUGGUUUAUAGAUUAAAGAAUUUCGGUGUAAG